CUUGUGGUCACUUCCUUCCAGUACAGUC
RNAcentral lists this non-coding RNA (28 nucleotides) under Homo sapiens (human). Lineage: Eukaryota; Metazoa; Chordata; Mammalia; Primates; Hominidae. The record is from RNAcentral.